This 355-nucleotide transfer-messenger RNA is filed under the name bovine gut metagenome. It matches the Rfam family "transfer-messenger RNA". Rfam says of the family: Bacterial tmRNA, also known as 10Sa RNA or SsrA, is named for its dual tRNA and mRNA-like properties. The record is from RNAcentral.
GGGAACGAAUUGGAUUCGACCGGGCAGAUGAAACGUGCGUCGCGUAUCGAGGUUGGUCUGAGGGCCUCGUAAAAAUCAGACUAACACACAAUUGCCAACAAUAACAUGGCUUUGGCUGCCUAGUAAAGGCUGCCCUUGCUGAGGAGGCUCGCCGAAGGCGUCCGACUGCAAGCUGUAAUUUCGGAUCGUUUUCCGUCGCUGGCAGGCACGCGGAUUACUAAAUUUUGCUCCCGCCUGGUUCCAAAGGAAGGCUGUCGUUGGUCGUCCGAGGAACAAGACUCAAAAUAACGACUACAUACGUAGAAGCGCCCGCGGACUCGUCGCGGGACGGGGGUUCAAUUCCCCCCGUUUCCAU